CGUCAACUAGCUCAGUCGGGUAGAGCGCAGGCUCGAUAAGCCUGGGGUCCUUGGUUCAAAUCCUAAGGUCGACGACCA
RNAcentral lists this transfer RNA (78 nucleotides) under Burkholderia cenocepacia. RNAcentral describes it as "tRNA-Ile". It matches the Rfam family "tRNA". Rfam says of the family: Transfer RNA (tRNA) molecules are approximately 80 nucleotides in length. Their secondary structure includes four short double-helical elements and three loops (D, anti-codon, and T loops). The record is from RNAcentral. Lineage: Bacteria; Pseudomonadati; Pseudomonadota; Betaproteobacteria; Burkholderiales; Burkholderiaceae.